RNAcentral lists this ribosomal RNA (446 nucleotides) under uncultured bacterium. RNAcentral describes it as "partial 16S ribosomal RNA". It matches the Rfam family "Bacterial small subunit ribosomal RNA", at positions 338 to 795 of the family's 1533-position model. The record is from RNAcentral.
CCUACGGGUGGCAGCAGUCGAGAAUCAUUCACAAUGGGGGAAACCCUGAUGGUGCGACGCCGCGUGGGGGAAUGCAGGUCUUCGGAUUGUAAACCCCUGUCAUGUGGGAGCAAAUUAAAAAGAUAGUACCACAAGAGGAAGAGCCGGCUAACUCUGUGCCAGCAGCCGCGGUAAUACAGCGGUCUCAAGCGUUGUUCGGAAUUACUGGGCGUAAGGGGUGCGGAGGCGGUUUCGUAAGUCGUGUGUGAAAGGCGCGGGCUCAACCCGAGGACGGCACAUGAUACUGGGAGACUAGAGUAAUGGAGGGGGAAGCGGAAUUCGUGGUGUAGCAGUGAAAUGCGUAGAUAUCGAGAAGAACACUCGUGGCGAAGGCAGGUUCCUGGACAGUAACUGACGCUGAGGCACGAAGGCGAGGGGAGCGAAAGGGAUUAGAUACCCUGGUAGUC